RNAcentral lists this long non-coding RNA (2532 nucleotides) under Gadus morhua (Atlantic cod). Its description in RNAcentral is "lncRNA (ENSGMOG00000029673.1)". The record is from RNAcentral. Lineage: Eukaryota; Metazoa; Chordata; Actinopteri; Gadiformes; Gadidae.
AAAGCCUGCCUGCUCCUUAAUGACGUCUCUUUCGUUCAGAUAAUGUUGCAUCUUUUGAAUAUUGAACCUAAUCAAUGUCCUUGUUUGGUCCGGGCAGACACACCUGAGCUGAAUCUCACCUGAUCCUGUUUGGUCGGGGGCAGGCACACCUGAGCUGAACUCCACCUGAUCCGGACAUCCUGCUGGUCCCGUCUCCUCAGUUCAUCUGAGCCUCUUCCUCCAGAAAACCUGCUGAGCUCAGCGGUCUGAGACUGAUGUAUCAAUGACCUCCAGUGGGAGUGAUCUUCUUGACCCCACAUGUAGCCGUGUGCUUCCACACGCCUUUCCCUCACGUCUGUCACUAACCUCAUUACUUCUCUACUCCUUCCCCUCUUCCUUCUCCGUGGUUCGAACCUUUACUCUGAAGGAGUGUCUCCUUGAACCUUUACACUGAAGGAGCGUAUUCCUGUCCUCAGAGGGUUCAGCGUUAGGGUUGAGAGUCAGGGUUUAGAGUCAGGGACAGAGCUGGUCAGGGAAUGCUGGUUUUACAUAAACCUUUUCAUUUGCUUUCUGAAUGGUGGUGUCAUUUUGAUGAGAUUAAUUUGGGAAAAUGUUUUCCUCUGCUUUCCUUUACAAAAAUAUGUAUUAAACUUCUGUGUUUGUAACCAGACCAGGUAUCCAUGGCUGAAGGAGCUGAUGGAGGAGCCGUGUUUAAGUUCCUGCCUGGGGGAGGAGCCGUGCUGGAGGCCCUGCCUGGUGGAGGAGCUGAUGGAGGCCCUGCCUGGUGGGGGAGCUGUGCUGAUGGAGGCCCUGCCUGGUGGAGGAUGUCUGUCGUGGGACCAGGACUCUGUCUGAGGAGAGCAGACGGAGGAGCUGAGACGCUGGAGGACAACUAGGAAUCAACCAAAAAGGAUUCCUCGUAAGUUUGUAUUUACUUGCAUGGUUGACUUAACGGGCAAAAUAAAGCUGUUACUUUGACAUGCGUUAACAAACUACCGCUGUGUUUUCUUACUAGAACGUGUUUCUGGAGCAGAGGCGAGCUGGUAGGGGAGCCGUUAAUCUGGAGGAUGACCAUCACUCUACCAACAAGGAUUGUGAGUUUGUAUUAACCUAACAAAGUGGAAAUAAAGGGCUUAAAAUUAAGAAAAACUACAUGUUUGUUACCAGACGUUGGGGCCAGACUCGCGCUGUUUGUUCCAGACCAGGACUCUGGCUGAGGAGCGCUGAUGGAGGAGCCAAGACUCUGGAGGACGACAUCACUCUACCAACAAAGAUCCUCGUAAGUUUGCAUAAAGUAAACAGACUGGACUUGUUGUAACGCAGGAUUAGUUUGUCCAGUAGAAAUUGAGGCAUACUACUGUGGUUGGUUACCAGACAAACUACAGCUGCUACUUUGUUACGCGCCAUUAGAGCCCAACUGCUCCUGUGUUUGACCUUACAAUAGAGACAAAUUACAUUACCAGACCAGGAAUCUGGAGGACUGACGGAGAAGCCGUACAUCUGGAAGGCAAAUCCUGAGGAUGACCAGGACUCUACCAUCAAGGAUUCCUCGUAAGUGUGCAUUAUCUGGACAUAGUGGACUAGGUAGGGGGUUGGGGGUUCAACUCUCAGACCAAUGGUGCCGGGUUCAAGUACUCAGAAUACAGUGAUGCGUCCUAAAGCCUGCCUGCUCCUUAAUGGCGUCUCUUUGGUUUAGAUAAUGUUGCAUCUUUUGAAUAUCGAACCUAAUCCAUGUCCUUGUCUGGUCCGGGCAGACACACCUGAGCUGAACCUCACCUGAUCCUGUUUGGUCGGGGGAAGACGCACCUGAGCUGAACCUCACCUGAUUGGUCGGGGGCAGACUCACCUGAGCUGCACCUCACCUGAUCCUGUUUGGUGGGGGGCAGACUCACCUGAGCUGAACCCACCCUGAUCCUGACAUCCUGCUGGUCCCGUCUUCUCAGUUCAUCUGAGCCUCGUCCUCCAGAAGACCUGCUGAGCUCAGCGGUCUGAGGCUGAUGGAUCAAUGACCUCCAGUGGGAGUGAUCUUCUUGACCCCACAUGUAGCCGUGUCCUUCCACACGCCUUUCCCUCACGUCUGCCACUAACCUCACUACUUCACUACUCUCUACUGCUUCCUCUUUUCUUCCUUCUCUGUGGUUCAAACCUUUUAUACUGAAGGCGCGUCUUCCUGCCCUCAGAGGGUUUAGCGUUAGGGUUGAGAGUCAGGGUUUAGAGUCAGGGACAGAGCUGGUCAGGGAGGACUGCUUUUACACAAACCUCUUCACUUGCUUUCGGAAUGGUGGUGACAUUUUGAAAAGAUUCAUUGGGGAAAAUGUUUUCCUCUGCUUUCCUUUACAAAUUGUAUUCAACUUCUGUCAAGUGUUUUUGUUUAUAUUAAAAUCCCACAUUGACUUCUACAUGUUUGUUGCUGUUCAUUUAAUUGUCCUUUAACUUGGUUAAUGUCAAGCUAAACUCCUGCAAUACAUUUAAUAUACAUGAUUGUUAUUCUGCAAUGUUCACAUAUUCCAUUUUGAAAAAAUAUGAAACCUCCAUAUUACUACUAAAUUCAAG